CAGUCGCCGCGGUAAUACAGAGGGUGCGAGCGUUAAUCGGAUUUACUGGGCGUAAAGCGUGCGUAGGCGGCUUCUUAAGUCGGAUGUGAAAUCCCUGAGCUUAACUUAGGAAUUGCAUUCGAUACUGGGAAGCUAGAGUAUGGGAGAGGAUGGUAGAAUUCCAGGUGUAGCGGUGAAAUGCGUAGAGAUCUGGAGGAAUACCGAUGGCGAAGGCAGCAAUCUGGCCUAAUACUGACGCUGAGGUACGAAAGCAUGGGGAGCAAACAGGAUUAGAUACCCCAGUAGUCCCUGUCUCUUAUAC
Molecule: ribosomal RNA, 301 nt
Filed under: uncultured bacterium
Lineage: Bacteria
Description: partial 16S ribosomal RNA
Rfam family: Bacterial small subunit ribosomal RNA
Source: RNAcentral